UUUCACCUCUAACUUCAUUUACGGACCUGCAACGUGUCAUUUAUGAAGAGGAAAGGGCAGCAUAUGUUGAAGCCAUCAGACAAAAUAUGAUGGAUGGGAAAGCACAUCCGCUUACUUUUAUUCAUCACACCUCAACGUAUCAGGCUUCCAUGUGCAAGUUAACAGAAUACUGGCGAGAAUCUAUUACCUUUGAUGCCCAUUGAUUUUGUGUCACUGUUGAUUUGUACUGAAUGCACAUCUCUUUUUCGUUGGUUUUUUUUUUUUGCAGUUUAAGCCCUGCCAUUAGAGUAUUUCAGGAUCGUGUGAUAGAGAACGAGAUUUGGGUAAAUAACUAACCUACAUUCAGAUAUUAUGGGACAGUGAGGAUCAGUCAACAGUCUUGCUGAAAAACCUCAAGUCUGCUCAUGAAUUUUGUUUGUUUCUCUCAAUAUUAACAGUUGAAAGGGAACUCUUUGAAGUCAAGUUUCAAUAGCUUGUUAUUGAGUGAUCCGUUUUCGACCCCUCAUUACACCAUUUAUGCUCCGAAAAUGUCUUCUAAUGUCUGUAGAGACUACUUGCCUUUCAAACAGAUACUGAAGCUGGUGGAUGAAGCAAAGAGUUUGGAGAUGGAGGUCCAGAGAGGGCGUGAUUCGAGUUCAGGUCACCGGGGAAGUGUAUAUGGUCAGAGAAGCGGGCCUAGUCCACCGGAGUCGAGCAAUACAAGGAGCAUCAUCAGUAGCCCCAGCAGCCGAAGCAGGAAAUGGCCCCAGUGAAUUGCUAAGCUAGCCUAAUCUUUAGUGCAUUCUGCAAGGUGUCGUGUCCGGGUGAUAUAUUUGCUUGCCCCGAUUUGGUUUUGCAAUCUUUUGAACCAUCCGUGGGAAGUGUAAGAUGUGAGGUUUGUUCGCGGUCCCUGUUCUUCAGCUGUAAAUCGCGUGGUCCAUUUUGGUCGGCCAUUAUACAUACAUUAGCGAAAAGGCGGACUUUCCGCAGCCACA
Molecule: long non-coding RNA, 974 nt
Organism: Syzygium oleosum
Lineage: Eukaryota; Viridiplantae; Streptophyta; Magnoliopsida; Myrtales; Myrtaceae
Exons: 2
Source: RefSeq, a predicted model, not a curated record